Molecule: ribosomal RNA, 572 nt
Filed under: uncultured bacterium
Lineage: Bacteria
Description: partial 16S ribosomal RNA
Rfam family: Bacterial small subunit ribosomal RNA
Source: RNAcentral
UGGGGAAUAUUGCACAAUGGGCGCAAGCCUGAUGCAGCCAUGCCGCGUGUGUGAAGAAGGCCUUCGGGUUGUAAAGCACUUUCAGCGAGGAGGAAGGUGGUGAGCUUAAUACGCUCAUCAAUUGACGAUCAUCUCGCAGAAGAAGCACCGGCUAACUCCGUGCCAGCAGCCGCGGUAAUACGGAGGGUGCAAGCGUUAAUCGGAAUUACUGGGCGUAAAGCGCACGCAGGCGGUUUGUUAAGUCAGAUGUGAAAUCCCCGGGCUCAACCUGGGAACUGCAUUUGAAACUGGCAAGCUAGAGUCUCGUAGAGGGGGGUAGAAUUCCAGGUGUAGCGGUGAAAUGCGUAGAGAUCUGGAGGAAUACCGGUGGCGAAGGCGGCCCCCUGGACGAAGACUGACGCUCAGGUGCGAAAGCGUGGGGCAGCAAACAGGAUUAGAUACCCUGGUAGUCCAGCGCUGUAAAACGAUGUCGAUUUGGAGGUUGUGCCCUUGAGGCGUGGCUUCCGGAGCUAACGCGUUAAAUCGACCGCCUGGGGAGUACGGCCGCAAGGUUAAAACUCAAAGGAAUUGAC